AACAAGCCACAGGCAGCAACAGCUGAUCCGUGAGCUCGAGUUUGCCAAGCUGAAUUUGAAAUACUUACUUAUUUGAGACAGGGUCUCUCUACGUUGCCCAGACUGGUCUUGAACUCCUGAGGUUCCCAGAGCAUCAUUGUCCUGGGGUGCAGGAGGACACGAGUGAGCACACGCCUAUGGAGGUCAGAGGGGCCUCUCCUCAGCCACUUUCCACGUUAUAUGUGGAGGGAUCAGCUACCUGCUGGAUUCAGUUGUGUGCCCGUGCCGGAAGUUCUGCCCUUCCCGGUGGCCUUUGAAGAGGAAGCGAGCUCUACCACUUUGCCACCACCGCCUCAACUCCUUCCGAAAGAUUGCAAGCUCCUCAGCUAGCUUUCCUCAGGACGUCCCCUUAGACAACGUUUCUUGGGGCGGCUGUAGAUGGUGCUGGCGUAUAUUCCUGGGGAAGAUGUCAUCACCUGAGAGGGCUGGAUACAGAUCGGGAUUGGUGGAGGAGACCUGAAAAUAAAAGGAGGCGUGACUGUCUGGAAAAGAACUGCUCUUUCAU
Meriones unguiculatus (Mongolian gerbil) is the source of this 544-nucleotide long non-coding RNA. RefSeq lists it as uncharacterized. The transcript is spliced from 3 exons. The record is from RefSeq and is a predicted model, not a curated record. Lineage: Eukaryota; Metazoa; Chordata; Mammalia; Rodentia; Muridae.